GCCCAGAUAGCUCAGUCGGUAGAGCAAAGGACUGAAAAUCCUUGUGUCGCUGGUUCGAUUCCGGCUCUGGGCA
Molecule: transfer RNA, 73 nt
Organism: Finegoldia magna ATCC 29328
Lineage: Bacteria; Bacillati; Bacillota; Tissierellia; Tissierellales; Peptoniphilaceae
Rfam family: tRNA
About the family: Transfer RNA (tRNA) molecules are approximately 80 nucleotides in length. Their secondary structure includes four short double-helical elements and three loops (D, anti-codon, and T loops). Further hydrogen bonds mediate the characteristic L-shaped molecular structure. tRNAs have two regions of fundamental functional importance: the anti-codon, which is responsible for specific mRNA codon recognition, and the 3' end, to which the tRNAs corresponding amino acid is attached (by aminoacyl-tRNA synthetases). tRNAs cope with the degeneracy of the genetic code in two manners: having more than one tRNA (with a specific anti-codon) for a particular amino acid; and 'wobble' base-pairing, i.e. permitting non-standard base-pairing at the 3rd anti-codon position.
Source: Rfam